UGGGGAAUAUUGGACAAUGGGCGCAAGCCUGAUCCAGCAAUGCCGCGUGUGUGAAGAAGGCCUUCGGGUUGUAAAGCACUUUAGGUUGGGAAGAAAAAACUCGGGCGAAUAUCCCGAGUCUUGACGGUACCGACAGAAUAAGCACCGGCUAACUCUGUGCCAGCAGCCGCGGUAAUACAGAGGGUGCUAGCGUUAAUCGGAUUUACUGGGCGUAAAGCGUGCGUAGGCGGUUUGUUAAGUCGGUUGUGAAAGCCCCGGGCUCAACCUGGGAAUUGCAGUCGAUACUGGCAGACUAGAGAACGGUAGAGGGAGGCGGAACUCCAGGUGUAGCGGUGAAAUGCGUAGAUAUCCGGAAGAACACCGAUGGCGAAGGCAACCUCCUGGGCCUGUUCUGACGCUGAGGCACGAAAGCGUGGGUAGCAAACAGGAUUAGAUACCCGUGUAGUCC
RNAcentral lists this ribosomal RNA (448 nucleotides) under uncultured bacterium. RNAcentral's name for it is "bacterial SSU rRNA". It matches the Rfam family "Bacterial small subunit ribosomal RNA", at positions 355 to 796 of the family's 1533-position model. The record is from RNAcentral.